GAAUGUAUGGGGGAAAAGGCUGCUGCCUAAAAUGCAGGCGCUGCUUUUAAUAAUUACACAUUUGAAAAUGAUCCUAAUAAGCUUCCCAGUCUUGGUCUCACUGUCCUGCUGUUCCUUAGGCAUGCAUGUCUGAAAGCAACCUGGAUAUGAUUUGUCCAUUCUGAACCAUUCCCAGUUGCUUGUAUGAAGACCAAGAAUAAUCAUCCCACGUAGCGUCAUCUAAGGAUUCAAUCAAGUAAGCCUUCUGGGAAAGAGAAAACCUCAAUUCUGAGUUAUUGUUUAAUCUACCAUUGUGGGAAGCAAUUUUUAAAGUUGUUUUUUAUUAUUUUUAAAGAUGACAGCACCGUAUACGCACUCCUCAGUAACCUUAUUGAUUAUCUUUGUUCAUGUUUGAAAGCAAAAAAGUGAUGUAUUCUGCCAGUCCCUGUGAACACCUUGGGUUUUUGAAGUGUGUAUGGAAGGCAAUGCCUUCUUUGGUGAACUAGAAUUUGUUCCUGGUUCUUGAACUCUUUGCUUUACAGUUUUCUCUGUUUUGUGUUUACAAGAUCCAUGAAGAUAACCCUGUUGGUUCCCAGUGCUCUUGCAGCACUUUGCAGCCCAGUAGGUGAUUGGUACAAGUGAGGAAGAAGACUUUAGGGUCUUGGCUUUGGUCUUCUUUUAUUGCACCAGAGAGUAUGGGAAAAAAAGCAAAACAAAAAUCAUAUCAUCAUGAGAUAGAAUGGCCUGGGUUGAAAAGUACCACAAUGAUCAUUGAGUUUCAACCCCCCUGCUAUGUGCAGGGUCGCCAACCACCAGACCAGGCUGCCCAGAGCCACAUCCAGCCUGGCCUUGAAUGCCUCCAGGGAUGGGGCAUCCACAGCCUCCUUGGGCAACCUGUUCCAGUGUGUCAUUACCCUCUGAGUGAAAAACUUCCCCCUAACAUCUAACCUAAACCUCCCCUGUAUAAUACAUAAAUAACAUACAAAUAACACCACCUCCCACCUUUCUCUCAAAAACAACAAAUACACCACAAAAACAUAACCCACCCCAGUACUUUUCAAAGUAAAGAACUUCCUUGUUUCCACAGUGAGUAAGCUAGACCAUUUUUGCACAGUGUAUGUAUGGGAACUGUUAAAUUAUGGUCUGAACCUCUAAUUGACCACCUGAGGUGAGCAGUGAGUCAGCCAUGGCAGCACAGGUGAAGGCAAUUGAGCUGUGUGACCACAAGGGGUGGAGCCAGGCUGCACCUCUCCUACACCCCAUUUAAGGGCUGACUGCCACUAAGGAAGGCUCUCUUUCUGGAGAUUGCUCCCUUUGGAGUUCUUCUGUGAGCCUAUGACACAGGUGCAGAUCAGCUAAGUGCGUUCUUCAAGCCAAGCCUUUAUAUGCAGGUACAAUUUUACUCCCAGGUAUGAUUUCAUCAUUAAUUCUCAAGAUUUAUGGCAUAACUUCUUACCUGUAACACAAAUUCUGGGGUCUUAGACUGACCAGUAAGUUACACUUAUUUACAAGAAUGCUGUAUUCAUUAUUGCCUAAUGUUUUCUUUCAUGAACAUACCAGGCCUGUGCUGGGCUGACAUAAGCCAGCAGCUAAGCACUCACCAGCUUCCAGCUCCCUGCCCCAACAGGACAGGGGACAAAGUCUUUAAAACAAAAAGUAGAAAAUCCCUGCAGGUCAAAUUAAAACAGUUAAAUAGGUGAAGGAGAAAGUGUGUGUGUGUGUGUGUGUGUUUGGAAUGUGGCUUUGGGAAGCUUAGAUCGGCAUUCCUGGCCAUGUCUCUUCCCCAACCCUGCAUUGUGUACACUGAUACUGUGACAUUGAUACUGUGGGCAAGAAGCACUCAACCAAUGUAUCUGGUUUUGCUAAUGCUGAGGAGGAGCAGACCUUAAAUCAGCUGCUGGUGGAAAUGGAUGGAACAGGGACCACAGAUCAUGUCGUAGUGCGGCUUCCACCAACUGUGCUGAUGUUUUGCAUAAUGCCUUGAUGAGACCUGGCAGGCUUGACAGACACACCUUUAUUGAUCUUUAUGGGGAGUUGUGGGGUGAGCAGGAGAGGCGGCCCUGAAGCUGUGCAUGCCCUACUCAGCAACAGAUAAAACACCAGGGCAAUAC
Molecule: long non-coding RNA, 2090 nt
Organism: Gallus gallus (chicken)
Lineage: Eukaryota; Metazoa; Chordata; Aves; Galliformes; Phasianidae
Exons: 2
Source: RefSeq, a predicted model, not a curated record